GUAAUCAUGGUCGAGUGGUUAAGGUGAUGGGCUUGAAAUCCAUUGGGGUUUCCCUGCACAGGUUUGUAUCCUGUUGAUUACG
This is a non-coding RNA of Protopterus annectens (West African lungfish), 82 nucleotides long. NCBI's taxonomy places the organism in Eukaryota, Metazoa, Chordata, Ceratodontiformes, Protopteridae. The record is from the annotation of a RefSeq genome assembly.